RNAcentral lists this transfer RNA (90 nucleotides) under Brevundimonas mediterranea. RNAcentral describes it as "tRNA-Ala(cgc)". Lineage: Bacteria; Pseudomonadati; Pseudomonadota; Alphaproteobacteria; Caulobacterales; Caulobacteraceae. RNAcentral also lists the same sequence under 1 other name. The record is from RNAcentral.
GACGGCCUGGUCGGUGGAGGGGCCGGGGGGCGCGAUCCCGGUCGUGACCUUCGAUCAGGGGCACGGGCCGAUCCGGUCGGUCGGCUAUCG